Molecule: long non-coding RNA, 397 nt
Filed under: Homo sapiens (human)
Lineage: Eukaryota; Metazoa; Chordata; Mammalia; Primates; Hominidae
Description: HSALNT0037636
Source: RNAcentral
GCAGCCCGGGCAGCGAGUCCAGUUCUCAGCCUGUGUCUUCGGUGCCCUGCGGGACACUUCUGCCCCAACAGAGCCACCCGCCCCAUCCCAUGCCAGCCGGGUACAUUUGGCCCCCGCUUAGGCCAGGAUGAAGCCACAGACUGCACCCCUUGCCCAGCAGGCAGGGCCUGUACCCAGGCUGGGCUGACACACCCCGACGCAGCGUGCUCACCGGGGUAAGUGCCCGCCAUUUCUCAAUGAUGAGUGUCCCGAUGGGGGCCAGAGCCAUCCCCCUAACACCCUUAGAGAAUCAGUCCCAGGUCAAGGCCAGACUUCUCCCAGCCUCUGACCCUCUCAGGGUUCGGAGAGGGCUGCGCCUUCAGAUCAAAGCUCUGUCUCAGCCAGCCCAGGGCUCCAG